Molecule: ribosomal RNA, 419 nt
Filed under: uncultured soil bacterium
Lineage: Bacteria
Description: bacterial SSU rRNA
Rfam family: Bacterial small subunit ribosomal RNA
Source: RNAcentral
AGAACGAACGCUGGCGGCAUGCUUAACACAUGCAAGUCGAACGAGACCGCUGACUUCGGUUGGCGUGUCUAGUGGCGCACGGGUGCGUAACGCGUGGGAAUCUGCCCUUAGGUACGGAAUAACUCAGAGAAAUUUGUGCUAAUACCGUAUGAUGUCGCAAGACCAAAGAUUUAUCGCCUAAGGAUGAGCCCGCGUAAGAUUAGCUUGUUGGUGAGGUAAAAGCUCACCAAGGCGACGAUCUUUAGCUGGUCUGAGAGGAUGAUCAGCCACACUGGGACUGAGACACGGCCAGACUCCGUAGGGAGCAGCAGGUGGGAAUAGUUGGACAAGUGGGACGAAAGCCUGACUCCGAGCAUCGCCGCGUGAGUGAGUGAAGGUCCGUUAGGUUAGUAACGUCCCUUUACGAGGUAUAGUAAUAU